CCUGCCGUGGGCUGGCGUCGCACAUCAGGAAGCUGCCGUAGGCGCCGUGGAAGAUCUCCUCCACGAACUCCAGCAGGCCGAUGGUGAUGCGGGCGCGGCGGGGCCAGGCCGGGGCCAGCCAACGGUUGAGGCCGGAGCUCACCGCCUCGGGGACAAGGGGCCGCAGGUAGCUGGGGACGUCCAGCCGGUAGAGGGCGCUGUGGGCCACGCGCUCCGUCACGUAGAGGUCCCCGCAGAAGCCCAGCAGCUUGGGGGUGUGCUCCUUCUCUUGCAGCGCUAGCAUCAGGAGAAACUCGUUGAUCUGCAGUAGGGCCCACACCGACUUGGCCUCGGCCAGUGACACCUUGCCGUCCCGGGUGACGUCGGCCAGUGUGAUGACCCGCUCCACCAGAGCGUUGAGGGACGGCUGGUCACCCAGGGUAAUAUCUGCAGAGACAGAGGAAGAGAGGCACCUUGAAGAAGCUAUGGAGCAUCUCCCUGAACUCGUCCAUGGACGUCCCGCGGGUGGGCUUGUCAAACAGGCUGGUCUCCGGUCUGAGUCCUGGGUCCGGAGCCCCCUCCGCCUUCAGGCUCUCCUGCAGCCCACACUUGAUCACCACGGGCCGGUCCUUCCACUGGCCAUCGUACACCUACAUGUAGCAUGAAGGUGGGUGGGGCGAGGCGAACCACCUCCGCCACCGAUACGUCAUUCAGUGUCCUUGCAACAUGUGUACCCACUAAGAUUCAUGUAGUAAGCCCCACCUUGCAUCCGUCCGGUUCUCAUGAGGUUAAUGUAAAUAAACACACUUUUGAUUAUA
Long non-coding RNA from Gadus morhua (Atlantic cod), 797 nucleotides. RefSeq lists it as uncharacterized. The transcript is spliced from 2 exons. NCBI's taxonomy places the organism in Eukaryota, Metazoa, Chordata, Actinopteri, Gadiformes, Gadidae. The record is from RefSeq and is a predicted model, not a curated record.